UUGCAGCCACAUCACAUUGAAACAUAGGGUCCUGUACAAUCACUGAAGUUAAGCAAUAUUGAGCCUGGUCAGUACCUACAUGAGUGACCACUUGGGAAUACCAGGUGCUGGA
Non-coding RNA from Acanthosepion pharaonis, 112 nucleotides. Lineage: Eukaryota; Metazoa; Mollusca; Cephalopoda; Sepiida; Sepiidae. The record is from the annotation of a GenBank genome assembly.